UACGGAGGUGGCAAGCGUUGCUCGGAAUCACUGGGCGUAAAGGGCGCGUAGGCGGGGAGGUAAGUCGGGUGUGAAAUCCCUCGGCCCAACCGAGGAACUGCGCCCGAGACUGCUUCUCUUGAGUCCCGGAGAGGAAGAUGGAAUUCCCGGUGUAGCGGUGAAAUGUGUAGAGAUCGGGAGGAACACCGGUGGCGAAGGCGGCAUCCUGGACCGACACUGACGCUGAGGAGCGAAAGCCAGGGGAGCAAACGGG
RNAcentral lists this ribosomal RNA (253 nucleotides) under uncultured bacterium. RNAcentral's name for it is "partial 16S ribosomal RNA". It matches the Rfam family "Bacterial small subunit ribosomal RNA", at positions 524 to 776 of the family's 1533-position model. The record is from RNAcentral.